GACGAACGCUGGCGGCGCGCUUAACACAUGCAAGUCGAACGGAAAGGCCUGCUUUCCCUUGUGGAUUGCGGGUACUCGAGUGGCGAACGGGUGAGUAACACGUGAGUGAUCUGCCCCCAACUUGGGUAUAAGCCUGGGAAACUGGGUCUAAUUCCCGAUAGGACUGCAGGGUGGUGCCUGUGGUGGAAAACGAUUUUCUAGUGGUUGGGGAUGAGCUCGCGGCCUAUCAGCUUGUUGGUGGGGGAAUGGCCUACCAAGGCGGCGACGGGUAGCCGGCCUGAGAGGGUGGACGGCCACAUUGGGACUGAGAUACGGCCCAGACUCCUACGGGAGGCAGCAGUGGGGAAUAUUACACAAUGGGCGGAAGCCUGAUGCAGCGACGCCGCGUGGGGGAUGACGGCCUUCGGGUUGUAAACUCCUUUCGACCGCGAGGAAGCCACCUGGUUGGAAGGGUGGUGACGGUAGUGGUAGAAGAAGCACCGGCUAACUACGUG
RNAcentral lists this ribosomal RNA (494 nucleotides) under uncultured bacterium. Its description in RNAcentral is "partial 16S ribosomal RNA". It matches the Rfam family "Bacterial small subunit ribosomal RNA", at positions 28 to 507 of the family's 1533-position model. The record is from RNAcentral.